RNAcentral lists this ribosomal RNA (441 nucleotides) under uncultured bacterium. Its description in RNAcentral is "bacterial SSU rRNA". It matches the Rfam family "Bacterial small subunit ribosomal RNA", at positions 335 to 774 of the family's 1533-position model. The record is from RNAcentral.
ACUCCUACGGGAGGCAGCAGUGAGGAAUUUUGGACAAUGGGGGAAACCCUGAUCCAGCGACGCCGCGUGUGGGAUGAAUGGGUUUAUGCCCUGUAAACCACUGUCAGCAGAGAAGAAAAGGCUCCUUUGGAGCCCGGGACUGUAUCUGCAGAGGAAGGACCGGCUAACUACGUGCCAGCAGCCGCGGUAAUACGUAGGGUCCAAGCGUUGUCCGGAAUUACUGGGUAUAAAGGGUGCGCAGGCGGGCUCGUGCGUCGAAGGUUAAAGGCCAUGGCUCAACCAUGGAAAUGCCCUCGAUACGGCGAGUCUUGAGUAUGAGAGAGGAAGAUGGAAUUCCUGGUGUAGCAGUGAAAUGCGUAGAUAUCAGGAGGAACACCGGUGGCGAAGGCGGUCUUCUGGCUCAUUACUGACGCUCAGGCACGAAAGCGUGGGGAGCGAACA